UUGUAGCUUCUGUUCAGAUGUCACGUCUAAAAAUAUCAACACAAUAUGAACACAUUUCACCCCACGAUUUCUUUGUGAAGGAAAAAGUCCUGCUUGCUACUGGUUUUGAAAUCAACUGAGGCUACAAACCGGAAGUGGGGUUUUUCAAUCCAGUUAUUCUAAAUUUGACUAGCAAUGACUUCAGAUCAUCACUUGGGGUUUACUCUUCAGUUCUCCAAGAUGAAUUAAACAGGACCAGGAUCUGCUGCAGGUGAAUCUGUAACACUGCCGCCUACGGUUUUGCCCAUGACUGUCUCGCUACCUCUCAGGCAUUUUAAAAGGAGUUAUGGCUGGUUCCUCUAAAGAACAGCAGGCCUCUUUGUUCAGCAGCAUCGUGCAGGCUGGGAGCCGACAGGAACACGAUGGAUCUUCACGUUCCUUUAUGGAGAGACCCUGAGGAGGAAGUGGAGCGGCUGUUCACCUGCAGGGAGACAAAUGUGAGACACACCGGUUAGAUUUGAUCUAUCAACACUGAGGCUGUGUGUGUGUAAAUAAUGUAUAUGCAGCCUAUUCAAUAAAUGAUCUGCCAGUGCAUAACCAAAAGCCCACAAUCAAAUUUCCACAAAAAAUGCUUCAUUUGUUCAUAGCAGGCACUCGAAAACUAGAACUACAUGUAUUUUCAAGGGGAGCUAUCAGUUUAGAUCAAUCACUUAUGUUGCAUGUAGUUAUUUUAAUAAUUAAUAAAGUGUGUUUGUUUCUUUAAAAUGUAAAGCUAAAGCAGGUUUAGGAUUGCACUCUUUAUUUCCAUCUUCACACCAUAUUUAAAGUACAUUUGAAUACAUGCUUAGCAAAUUCCAUUUAUAAUGACCAAGUUACAUUCAAUAGUGGUUUUGUAAUUUCUGCAAGACUGGCUGUUUUAUUCAGUGUAAAAAGAAUAAUAACAACCAACUCAAUUAAACAAUUCAUCUUAAUGGAUGGUGAGUUGUGUUUGGACACAGCCUUGUUGUUUUCCAUUGUUUUUGUUGUCCAUUGAGUGUAAAUGUCCUUUACAAAUUACUACAU
Molecule: long non-coding RNA, 1041 nt
Organism: Eleginops maclovinus (Patagonian blennie)
Lineage: Eukaryota; Metazoa; Chordata; Actinopteri; Perciformes; Eleginopidae
Exons: 4
Source: RefSeq, a predicted model, not a curated record